CUUGUAAGAGAAAUGGGUGAACAGGAAGCAUCAGCACCCAAAAUGAAGGAAGAAUCAGAAGAGAGGAAAGAAAUUCCUCCCGUUGUCCAAGAAAACACUACAGGAGUGUUCUUGUUCACGAAAGGCCCAGAUGAAAUGAAGGAAGAACCAAAGGAAGGAUCCCAAAAGAACUGGGAGUCACAUUGGCAGGAAUUCAUGAACACGGUGGAGUCUCGGUGCCACCAAACUGAUGGGUCAAGGCCACCUCAUCCUUGGCCGGAGGAGGACACAAAGGCAUUUCAGACCUCCUUGGAAGGAGCGGCUGAUGGCAUCUCUCAGUCAAGAGGAGAGAAUGUAGUCCAAAACCAUUGUAAUGAUGGCUCGGUGGCUGACGAAAGCCAGGUAUUUCACCUGAAAGUUAAGGAUGAGGAGGAUGAAGAAGAGGCGGAGCAAUUCAAUCUGUUGGGCUGCCAAAGUGCCAAUGGAUCUCAAGAGGUCAUGGCUGGACUUUGAGAAAUGGGCUUUACAUAGGCCAUAGGAGCUGUUGAUGGAUGCCACUCCAUGGUUGUGUAACGCAGGGAGGUUAAUUCAUCAAUCGAAAAAACAGUUAUUCCAUCUUGCUACAGGGAACUACAGAUCACAAAGACCACUUCCUUGAUAUAGAGGAAGACACGGCUGAGCCAGCAGCUAGAGAAGGCCGUCACUCAGCAAGGCCUCCGCGCAGGAUUGCCUAUUGGAGCGGCAAGGAGAUCAAUGCUCUCCUGGAUUACAUCCUGCGGUGCCAGAAGCUGUAUGUGCAGAGGGUGAUGGCAAGCACCAACUUGCGCACCAGAAACGUGUGGAUCGGGGCUUCCAGGGCCAUGGCCUUACUUGGCCUGAACAGAACCCCUGACCAGUGCCACACUAAAUUUAAGGCAUUGAAAUCAGCGUUCUAUCGGGCCAUGGAACGCCACGGUGGAGUGGUGCCACGGAAGAUGCAGCCACCCUUCUUUGCGAAGCUCCACCAGCUCUGGGAGAUAGGAGGCAGGGCAGACUGGAGAGACCGGAGGCCUGUUGCAGAUGCAUAUGAUCUCAAGGGGGGAGCAGGAGAUUCCAGUCUGAGUGGAGAGGAAAGUGGUGAGGAGGAGAGGGGCCCCAUUGCUCCUGCGCCAGGGCAAGCACACCAUGCAGCUGAACAUGGAGCUGUCCAGGAAGCAGCUGGUCUGCGCCAACUACAGCGACAGCACAUGGCAUUGGAGCAGCGUGUGAGUGCGAUCGAGAACACAUUUUCCAGGCUACAGGCAAACAUUCAGGAACUCCUUGCCCGUCUCCCUGCGCUACCCCCACCCUCUCCCCAAAACUAA
RNAcentral lists this long non-coding RNA (1322 nucleotides) under Anolis carolinensis (green anole). RNAcentral describes it as "lncRNA (ENSACAG00000044036.1)". Lineage: Eukaryota; Metazoa; Chordata; Lepidosauria; Squamata; Anolidae. The record is from RNAcentral.